This 253-nucleotide ribosomal RNA is filed under the name uncultured bacterium. RNAcentral's name for it is "partial 16S ribosomal RNA". It matches the Rfam family "Bacterial small subunit ribosomal RNA", at positions 524 to 776 of the family's 1533-position model. The record is from RNAcentral.
UACGGAGGGGGUUAGCGUUGUUCGGAAUUACUGGGCGUAAAGCGCGCGUAGGCGGACUAGAAAGUUGGGGGUGAAAUCCCGGGGCUCAACCUCGGAACUGCCUUUGAUACUGGUGUUCUUGAGUUCGAGAGAGGUGAGUGGAAUUCCGAGUGUAGAGGUGAAAUUCGUAGAUAUUUGGAGGAACACCAGUGGCGAAGGCGGCUCACUGGCUCGAUACUGACGCUGAGGUGCGAAAGUGUGGGGAGCAAACAGG